UUAGAUCUAAGAUUUCUCCAUCAUAGCUACAAAACUCACACCCACAUACAUUAACUUUUCGUCUUCUACAAUUAAAUGGAUGCACUGUUUAUCUUAUUCUAUCUCCUCAUCUCCCAGAUUCUCAGACAAUCAAUUAUGGUUGCGUUUAAUAACCUACGCGAAGUUCUCCCCUAUAUAUAUAUUCAUAUGACACACUGAAUCAGUGUAUCUCAUAUCAAGUCAAAGCUUUGUUGAACCAGCGCAGAUGUUAACCAAUCAUCAUCGACAAUGUCCUCCUCUGCUGCUAUUGUUGCUCAAACAGCGUCUCCUCUUCAACCUUCGAUGAUCUCUGCCUUGGUUUGACUUCUCAGGUGGUUGUUGGCCGGAUCCUCCGCUUUUGGGAUUCAAGGAAUAUCAAGAAGAAUUUUGAAUUUGUUGGUAUCACCAUCGUCAUGAAAAGGUGUAAAACCUCGACUGAUGGAGUCUAAGAUCGAGACGCUGACUCUCACUCUGGUGAAUUUGUUUCAUUUGUCAAGAAAACGAGCCGUGACGAUGACUGAACAAGUGAAUCGUUUGGUAUCACCGGAUAGAGGCAGAUCAAAGAAUGCAGCUCUGCCAUCUACAUCUCAAGUGACUUGCAGUAGACUAGAUGUUGAAGGCAUGGACCUACAAAGAACUUCUUCUAGAGAACUAGGAAACUCAUUGCAGGUUGUGAUAGGUAUAUAUGUCAAUUUUCUCUUUACGAAGUAUGAAGGAAGUUGGUAUUUCAUUUGUUUUAA
This is a long non-coding RNA of Brassica oleracea var. oleracea, 758 nucleotides long. RefSeq lists it as uncharacterized. Lineage: Eukaryota; Viridiplantae; Streptophyta; Magnoliopsida; Brassicales; Brassicaceae. The transcript is spliced from 3 exons. The record is from RefSeq and is a predicted model, not a curated record.